AUUGAAGCUGGAGCUUGCUCCGGCCGAUUUAGUGGCGGACGGGUGAGUAACGCGUGGGUAACCUGCCUCAUACAGGGGGAUAGCAGUUGGAAACGACUGGUAAAACCGCAUAAGCGCACGGUGUCGCAUGACACAGUGUGAAAAACUCCGGUGGUGUGAGAUGGACCCGCGUCUGAUUAGCCAGUUGGCGGGGUAACGGCCCACCAAAGCGACGAUCAGUAGCCGGCCUGAGAGGGUGAACGGCCACAUUGGGACUGAGACACGGCCCAAACUCC
This 275-nucleotide ribosomal RNA is filed under the name uncultured Lachnospiraceae bacterium. RNAcentral describes it as "partial 16S ribosomal RNA". It matches the Rfam family "Bacterial small subunit ribosomal RNA", at positions 66 to 339 of the family's 1533-position model. The record is from RNAcentral. Lineage: Bacteria; Bacillati; Bacillota; Clostridia; Lachnospirales; Lachnospiraceae.